UAGGGAAUCUUCCACAAUGGACGCAAGUCUGAUGGAGCAACGCCGCGUGAGUGAAGAAGGUUUUCGGACCGUAAAGCUCUGUUGUUGGUGAAGAAGGAUAGAGGUAGUAACUGGCCUUUAUUUGACGGUAAUCAACCAGAAAGUCACGGCUAACUACGUGCCAGCAGCCGCGGUAAUACGUAGGUGGCAAGCGUUGUCCGGAUUUAUUGGGCGUAAAGCGAGCGCAGGCGGAAGAAUAAGUCUGAUGUGAAAGCCCUCGGCUUAACCGAGGAAUUGCAUCGGAAACUGUUUUCUGAGUGCAGAAGAGGAGAGUAGAACUCCAUGUGUAGCGGUGGAAUGCGUAGAUAUAUGGAAGAAUACCAGUGGCGAAGGCGGCUCUCUGGUCUGCAACUGACGCUGAGGCUCGAAAGCAUGGGUAGCGAACAGGAUUAGAUACCCUGGUAGUCCACGCCGUAAACGAUGAGUGCUAGGUGUUGGAUCCUUUUCCGGGAUUCAG
Molecule: ribosomal RNA, 496 nt
Filed under: uncultured bacterium
Lineage: Bacteria
Description: partial 16S ribosomal RNA
Rfam family: Bacterial small subunit ribosomal RNA
Source: RNAcentral